CGGGAUGUAGCGCAGUUUGGUAGCGCGUUUGACUGGGGGUCAAAAGGUCGCUGGUUCGAAUCCAGUCAUCCCGACCA
RNAcentral lists this transfer RNA (77 nucleotides) under Lentisphaeria bacterium. RNAcentral describes it as "tRNA-Pro". It matches the Rfam family "tRNA". Rfam says of the family: Transfer RNA (tRNA) molecules are approximately 80 nucleotides in length. Their secondary structure includes four short double-helical elements and three loops (D, anti-codon, and T loops). Lineage: Bacteria; Pseudomonadati; Lentisphaerota; Lentisphaeria. The record is from RNAcentral.